Molecule: long non-coding RNA, 539 nt
Filed under: Coturnix japonica (Japanese quail)
Lineage: Eukaryota; Metazoa; Chordata; Aves; Galliformes; Phasianidae
Description: lncRNA (ENSCJPG00005011101.1)
Source: RNAcentral
GAUACUUGCUGUCAUGAAAAUAACAGUUUUAAUGCAGUUUGAGUGUUGUCUAUAUUCAGUUUUAAGAGAAAUAAUUGGGACCUAAACCUAUGGUUUCAUCCUGAUCUAAAUAACACAGUCCUUCUCUUAAUAAUAUCUAGUUUUUCUUUCACAGAACUGAGGCAAGAAUGAGGCACUGAAAUAAAUAAAAGCAGCCAGGACUAUUGAUAUGCUGGUAAAUAUAUUGCUGACUUCCCUACCUCCUGCUUAGAUGUACUGGCUGAUACUUUCCUGGUGGAAACACAUUUAUGGGCCCACACAGAAACAGAAGUGGCAGAAAUGUAAUGCAUGAGAAUGAGUGGUGAAACUUGCUGCUUUAACAACUUGGAAAUGAAAACAUAAUGUGGUACACAACUCAUUAAUUAAUUUUAUUGCAACUUGAUGCCAAUUUUUAUUAGAUGUUUUUAUUGGAUUAGGAAUUACAUUUGGAGAUUAUGGUAAAAAUAUGAUGGUGUUUGCCUAUUCUCACAGUAGAUGUAAAAUUUAAAUGGUCUUAUUUU